UAAAGCGAGACAUGAAAUACGGAAACCAUUCUACUAAAGAUUGAUGUUUAGCAAGUCUACUAAAAAGAAGUUUCCUUCAAACCUGGAGACGAAAAUAAGUGGAAUAACUGGAAUUAAUUACAUCAUCAUCAUGGAUCAGUUAAAAGGAAUCAGCACGUGCAACUUGCAAACUUCGUGAAGUUUUGGGCGAGUCCAUUUCAUCUUAUCAUCAAGUCCUCCUCCAAUCAUACAUGGGAGAUACUGCCUUGACCAAUGCCAUCGUAAACCAGGUAUCUUCCUCCUGCACCAAGAAAGUAAAGAAAUUACGAGAACCAGCGUUUACUUGUCUGGAGUAGGUUAAAAUGAUGUAUUGAAGGAAGGCAAAGCACGUGAAUCGAAAGAGGACUCUAGGGUUCGGGGUUUG
Long non-coding RNA from Cucurbita pepo subsp. pepo (vegetable marrow), 403 nucleotides. RefSeq lists it as uncharacterized. The record is from RefSeq and is a predicted model, not a curated record. NCBI's taxonomy places the organism in Eukaryota, Viridiplantae, Streptophyta, Magnoliopsida, Cucurbitales, Cucurbitaceae.